GGGCUCAUAGCUCAGUUGGAUAGAGCAACGGAUUUCUAAUCCGUAGGUCGUAGGUUCGAAUCCUACUGGGCCUGCUA
This 77-nucleotide transfer RNA is filed under the name Planctomycetota bacterium. Its description in RNAcentral is "Planctomycetes bacterium tRNA-Arg". It matches the Rfam family "tRNA". From Rfam's summary of the family: Transfer RNA (tRNA) molecules are approximately 80 nucleotides in length. Their secondary structure includes four short double-helical elements and three loops (D, anti-codon, and T loops). Lineage: Bacteria; Pseudomonadati; Planctomycetota. The record is from RNAcentral.